Non-coding RNA from Kluyvera ascorbata ATCC 33433, 422 nucleotides. The record is from Rfam. Lineage: Bacteria; Pseudomonadati; Pseudomonadota; Gammaproteobacteria; Enterobacterales; Enterobacteriaceae.
UUUUCCGUGUUGAACCUGGAAUAACAAGGAUAUUUACGGAAUGACCAGUUUUGUCUGUCCGAUCAUCCACGCAGCAAUGGCGUAAGACGUAUUGAUCUUUCAGACAGUUAGCGGGCUGCGAGUUGCAGUCCUUACCGGUACAUAUACUGUACGAAUUUUAGAUGGCAGACAGAAAACGCAACGGGAAACAUCCGUGCAGACCUCUACCUUCUGAAAGAUGACGAGUAUAAAUGGAAUCUUCUCUGGAGAGUUAUCCCAGGCUGUUCCCCAAAUAAUUGCGCUGUGUUUCCGCUUGAAACACAGGCUACCGACACUCUGCGCCUCUUAAGCGAGCGACAACCGUGAGGUUGGCGACGUGAAUAGUCACGAGGCCAUCGGUUUACCCCGGAAAGGCAACACUCUGCUCGCAGCUUAGUCGUCAA